This 730-nucleotide ribosomal RNA is filed under the name uncultured bacterium. Its description in RNAcentral is "bacterial SSU rRNA". It matches the Rfam family "Bacterial small subunit ribosomal RNA", at positions 771 to 1501 of the family's 1533-position model. The record is from RNAcentral.
AACAGGAUUAGAUACCCUGGUAGUCCACGCCGUAAACGAUGUCGACUUGGAGGUUGUGCCCUUGAGGCGUGGCUUCCGGAGCUAACGCGUUAAGUCGACCGCCUGGGGAGUACGGCCGCAAGGUUAAAACUCAAAUGAAUUGACGGGGGCCCGCACAAGCGGUGGAGCAUGUGGUUUAAUUCGAUGCAACGCGAAGAACCUUACCUACUCUUGACAUCCAGAGAACUUAGCAGAGAUGCUUUGGUGCCUUCGGGAACUCUGAGACAGGUGCUGCAUGGCUGUCGUCAGCUCGUGUUGUGAAAUGUUGGGUUAAGUCCCGCAACGAGCGCAACCCUUAUCCUUUGUUGCCAGCGGUCCGGCCGGGAACUCAAAGGAGACUGCCAGUGAUAAACUGGAGGAAGGUGGGGAUGACGUCAAGUCAUCAUGGCCCUUACGAGUAGGGCUACACACGUGCUACAAUGGCGCAUACAAAGAGAAGCGAACUCGCGAGAGCAAGCGGACCUCAUAAAGUGCGUCGUAGUCCGGAUUGGAGUCUGCAACUCGACUCCAUGAAGUCGGAAUCGCUAGUAAUCGUAGAUCAGAAUGCUACGGUGAAUACGUUCCCGGGCCUUGUACACACCGCCCGUCACACCAUGGGAGUGGGUUGCAAAAGAAGUAGGUAGCUUAACCUUCGGGAGGGCGCUUACCACUUUGUGAUUCAUGACUGGGGUGAAGUCGUAACAAGGUAACC